UUCUAUGGAUCAAACAAAUAAGACUUAACAUCUGAAUAAUGCAGUGAGGGUUGUUGAUUGGUUAACUAUCCCUUCAGUUCAACAAAUGGACUGAUGUUCCUACGCCAGGUUAUCAUCCUUCAGGCUCCUGCAGUAUAUUUGAAACACAAAAGUCAUCUGCUGUCCAUCUGGCCGCUGUUCCAGCCGGUAAUACCCCCUCAUAUUGCUCAGCUUCUCAAGCACCCGUGGACAAUCCAUUCUCCCCACCCUGCUGUCUUACCAUCGGGUCCUACUCUCCCCAACAACACCCCUGCCGGCCCUGAUCCCCAUCCCAGGACAGAGAGGUGGGAUCCGGUGUCAGUGCCCCAGAAAGACCCCUCUCCCUGGAACAUGUGGGGGAUCAGCACCAGUGUUGUUUGGAGGGCUCACUUUCACUGUUUUUGGAUUCUCACAGUAGCGUGUGGGUAUCCAUGACUUCUCAAGUGCUGGCUCACAGCAAAUCUAACUUUUAGGAUAGACAUCAGCGGAUGUUAUCUUAGCAGAAUAAUUGUUAUGCAGCUUUUGAAUUACGUUUUGUGUAGCAUAUCUGAAGUGGUCAGACUGUUGCACCAGGGCAGGAAUGCUGGCUGUGUGAGCCUGGGGGAUGGUGCUGUGAUGUUUUUUGCUUUACACAAACUUGGCUCGUGAAAUAUCUUUGAACCAUGAAACAUUUUCCUGAACCAAUCUGACCAAACAGGGGAAAUGGAAGAGGCCUCGGCUGGGCCAUGCAAAUACUUGCACUGAUGAAAAACCCUGUGUUUACUGACUGCUUGCUGCACUACCACCAGGUCAAUAAAAGAAUCACAGAUGCA
Notolabrus celidotus (New Zealand spotty) is the source of this 830-nucleotide long non-coding RNA. RefSeq lists it as uncharacterized. Lineage: Eukaryota; Metazoa; Chordata; Actinopteri; Labriformes; Labridae. The transcript is spliced from 2 exons. The record is from RefSeq and is a predicted model, not a curated record.